Molecule: ribosomal RNA, 491 nt
Filed under: uncultured bacterium
Lineage: Bacteria
Description: partial 16S ribosomal RNA
Rfam family: Bacterial small subunit ribosomal RNA
Source: RNAcentral
AGUGAACGCUGGCGGUAGGCCUAACACAUGCAAGUCGAACGGCAGCACAGUAAGAGCUUGCUCUUACGGGUGGCGAGUGGCGGACGGGUGAGGAAUACAUCUGAAUCUACUUUUUCGUGGGGGAUAACGUAGGGAAACUUACGCUAAUACCGCAUACGACCUACGGGUGAAAGCAGGGGAUCUUCGGACCUUGCGCGAUUGAAUGAGCCGAUGUCGGAUUAGCUAGUUGGCGGGGUAAAGGCCCACCAAGGCGACGAUCCGUAGCUGGUCUGAGAGGAUGAACAGCCACACUGGAACUGAGAAACGGUCCAGACUCCUAGGGGAGGCAGCAGGGGGGAAUAGUGGACAAGGGGCGAAAGCCUUAUCCAGCCAUACCGCGGGGGGGAAGAAGGCCUUGGGGUUGUAAAGCCCUUUUGUGGGGAAAAAAAAGCAGCAGGUUAAUACCCCGCUGUUCUGACGGUACCCAAAGAAUAAGCACCGGCUAACUUCGU